GUACACGCUGUGACUAGCAUAUCAAUAAGCGGAGGAAAAGAAACUAACAAGGAUUCCCUCAGUAACGGCGAGUGAAGCGGGAAGAGCUCAAAUUUGAAAUCUUGAAAGGUCACCUUUCACGAAUUGUAGUUUAAAGAAGUGUUUUCUGUUACGAUCGUAAUAUAAGUUCUUUGGAAUAGGACAUCACAGAGGGUGAGAAUCCCGUCUAUGAUUGCGAUUUGUAGCUUUGUGAUACACUUUCAAAGAGUCGGGUUGUUUGGGGAUGCAGCCCAAAACGGGAGGUAAAUUUCUUCUAAGGCUAAAUAUUGGCGAGAGACCGAUAGCGAACAAGUACCGUGAGGGAAAGAUGAAAAGAACUUUGAAAAGAGAGUUAAAUAGUACGUGAAAUUGUCAAAAGGGAAGCGUUUAACACCAGUGUUGUUUUCUGAAAAUCAACCUCUGUUAGCUUUAUGCAUGUUUGUUUAGACCUAAUCAGCUAUCUUGCAUGUUCUAUUGUCUGCAGUGGUGCACUUUUCAGUUUACAGGUCAACAUCAGUUUUUUUUACCGUAAAAAAGUUAAAGAAAGGUAGCUCAUGGCUCCGGUCGUGAGUGUUAUAGUCUUUUUCCUAUGCGGUAGGAGAGACUGAGGUCUGCAGUGUAGGCUAUUUGGCUAGAUACUCAGGUGCUAUGUGAUACCAUUUCAUAAACAACUUGUUGAUUAUGUUUUGUCUAUUGCAUACUCGCUUGUACUAUCAUACCUACGCUUAGGAUGUUGAGUAGCGACAUACGCAC
This 771-nucleotide ribosomal RNA is filed under the name uncultured Neocallimastigales. RNAcentral's name for it is "partial large subunit ribosomal RNA". The stretch from base 4 to 661 matches the Rfam family "Eukaryotic large subunit ribosomal RNA", at positions 24 to 664 of the family's 3401-position model. Lineage: Eukaryota; Fungi; Neocallimastigomycota; Neocallimastigomycetes; Neocallimastigales. The record is from RNAcentral.